CCGGAGGCCGGGCGGUCCACCUGGGGCGGCCACGCGGGUUCCGGCCGGGGGAGGCGGGGGCUGGCGCGUGACGCAGGCGGCCACACGUGGCCCCGGAGUGUGCUCGCGGGGACAGGUGCGGGGCCGUCACCCUGGCCUGGGCGUCCCGUCCCGCGCUCCGCUUCACUGGCGGCCUCCUUGGCGGGUUGGCGGCCGCGUCACGGGACGCUGUCCCCGAGGGGCUGCGGGCCGCAGGAAGGGCCCGCUAGCUUCGCCACUUGCAAGUUUUUCUUGGGGCCUGGAAGCCCAACUUGCCCAUCCGAGAAAUGGGACUCUGAAAUAAACAGAUGGGGGGCGCACUCUGCCAACUUGGCCGUUUUAUUCUUUCUCUACGUCCCUACCCGUUUUGGAGCCCAAGUGCUGGAGCAAGAAGACUGCCGCCCCAGACACCCAACGUCCCCGAGGCACGGUGGCCCGACUUAUAUUUGCGUCCCCCGGGGCCGGAACGCUGCUGAAAAGCCCCUCCGGGGCGCGGUCCCUGGGCCGGGUCACGUGACCUCCACUCGACGCCCCGCGGGGGGGGAAGCAAGCAAGUGCGCAUGCGUACCUUUUACCCCCCCCCCCCCCCCCGCGUUUGGCUUGGACGCAACCACUGUCAGCUCCUCCCCCUCCUUUUCCAUCCUUCCUGACACACACUCCCUUCCCCCCGCCCAUUGGUUACGUCAGCCAGACAGGACGGUGAGCCAAUCACGGUGCUGUGUUCAGAGGCCGGCACGCGGAACCGGUCGGAUCGGACCAAUGAGGGCCCGCGGAGCGGACGCGCCCCAACCGGGCAGGGGAGCCGAGGCCGAGUGGGCGGUGCUUCCCCAGUCAGCAUGUGGGCGGGGGAGGGCGGGGACCAGCAGCCGCAGAGGCGUCGACGGCGGCGGCGACGACGACGUUCCUCAGUCUUUGGGGUGGGCUCGGCGGCGCAGGCCGGGCAUCGCGGAGGGUUCGGCGGUCAGCGGCGGCGGCCCUAGGGGGCCGCGGCGCCAUGGGCGGGCGGUAGACGGGCUCGCGCGGGCGAGGCGAGGGGAGGCGGCGGUCGUCCAGGCCGCGGCGACCUUCGGCAGGGCCCGGGGGUGGGGAGGCCCGGGGCGGGGGUCGUCCCGGACAGCGCGGGGCCGCGGGGCGGGUCUCGCAGGCCGUCGGGGUGCAGGAGGCCUGGGCCGCCGCGAGGAGCCGCCGCCGGCCGCUGGGCCCCGCCGCCGGGCCGCUCGACGACGACGCUCCCGCGGGGGCCCCGCCUGA
Molecule: long non-coding RNA, 1269 nt
Filed under: Ursus thibetanus thibetanus
Lineage: Eukaryota; Metazoa; Chordata; Mammalia; Carnivora; Ursidae
Description: lncRNA (ENSUTTG00000010207.1)
Source: RNAcentral